GACGAACGCUGGCGGCGUGCCUAACACAUGCAAGUCGAACGGAAAGGCCCUGCUUUUGUGGGGUGCUCGAGUGGCGAACGGGUGAGUAACACGUGAGUAACCUGCCCUUGACUUUGGGAUAACUUCAGGAAACUGGGGCUAAUACCGGAUAGGAGCUCCUGCUGCAUGGUGGGGGUUGGAAAGUUUCGGCGGUUGGGGAUGGACUCGCGGCUUAUCAGCUUGUUGGUGGGGUAGUGGCUUACCAAGGCUUUGACGGGUAGCCGGCCUGAGAGGGUGACCGGCCACAUUGGGACUGAGAUACGGCCCAGACUCCUACGGGAGGCAGCAGUGGGGAAUAUUGCACAAUGGGCGGAAGCCUGAUGCAGCAACGCCGCGUGCGGGAUGACGGCCUUCGGGUUGUAAACCGCUUUCGCCUGUGACGAAGCGUGAGUGACGGUAAUGGGUAAAGAAGCACCGGCUAACUACGUGCCAGCAGCCGCGGUGAUACGUAGGGUGCGAGCGUUGUCCGGAUUUAUUGGGCGUAAAGGGCUCGUAGGUGGUUGAUCGCGUCGGAAGUGUAAUCUUGGGGCUUAACCCUGAGCGUGCUUUCGAUACGGGUUGACUUGAGGAAGGUAGGGGAGAAUGGAAUUCCUGGUGGAGCGGUGGAAUGCGCAGAUAUCAGGAGGAACACCAGUGGCGAAGGCGGUUCUCUGGGCCUUUCCUGACGCUGAGGAGCGAAAGCGUGGGGAGCGAACAGGCUUAGAUACCCUGGUAGUCCACGCUGUAAACGGUGGGUACUAGGUGUGGGGUCCAUUCCACGGGUUCCGUGCCGUAGCUAACGCUUUAAGUACCCCGCCUGGGGAGUACGGCCGCAAGGCUAAAACUCAAAGGAAUUGACGGGGCCCCGCACAAGCGGCGGAGCAUGCGGAUUAAUUCGAUGCAACGCGUAGAACCUUACCUGGGUUUGACAUGGAUCGGGAGCGCUCAGAGAUGGGUGUGCCUCUUUUGGGGUCGGUUCACAGGUGGUGCAUGGCUGUCGUCAGCUCGUGUCGUGAGAUGUUGGGUUAAGUCCCGCAACGAGCGCAACCCUUGUUCACUGUUGCCAGCACGUUAUGGUGGGGACUCAGUGGAGACCGCCGGGGUCAACUCGGAGGAAGGUGGGGAUGACGUCAAGUCAUCAUGCCCCUUAUGUCCAGGGCUUCACGCAUGCUACAAUGGCUGGUACAGGGAGUGGCGAGCCUGUGAGGGUGAGCGAAUCUCGGAAAGCCGGUCUCAGUUCGGAUUGGGGUCUGCAACUCGACCUCAUGAAGUCGGAGUCGCUAGUAAUCGCAGAUCAGCAACGCUGCGGUGAAUACGUUCCCGGGGCU
Molecule: ribosomal RNA, 1346 nt
Filed under: uncultured bacterium
Lineage: Bacteria
Description: bacterial SSU rRNA
Rfam family: Bacterial small subunit ribosomal RNA
Source: RNAcentral